AUGCCGGAGGCCGGGCCGGGGCUAGGGCUGGGGGCUGGGGGCCUGGGCUGCAGCUCGGGCGGCCCGCUCCGCCCCCCCCCCCCGGCGUCCCGCGACACCGGCUCGCAGACCCGGGCUCGCGGCGCGGAGACUUUGCUGGAGGAGACCCUGAAGGACCUGGACGAGUGCUACGAGAAGGUCCGCCGCGACACGGACUGUGCGCAGAAGCCCCGAGUGCCACCCUGCGCCCAGCAGGCCCUGAUCCGCAGCUAGGAGCCGGGCGAUCAGAAGAUCCAGAUCAAGAGCCAGAGGGUGGAGCUGGUGGAGGGCCGCACGCGGCAGGUGGACAGCCACGUGGAGCUGUUCCAGGAGCAGCAGGAGCAGGGCGACGCAGCGGGCGACGGCGUAAAGGUCGGCCCGGGCAGGCCCAGGGGCGAGGCGGCCGCGCAGGCGGAGAAGCCCAACAGCAAAGCGUUCUCGGCGACAGCGCAACAACGAGAACCGUGAGAACGCAUCCAGCAACCGCGACCACGACGACGUCACCUCGGGCACGCCCAAGGAGAAGAAAGCCCAGACCUCCAAGAAGAAGCGGAACUCCAUGGCCAAGGCGUAGCGGCAGGCGUCCCCCGCAGACCUCCCCAUCGACCCCAGCGAGUCCUCCUACUGGGAGAUGAUCCGCUGCGACAAGGAAUGCCCGAUCGAGUGGUUCCGCUUCUCGUGUGUGAGUCUCAACCAUAAACCAAAGUGCAAGUGGUGCUGUCCCAGAUGCCGGGGAAAGAAGGAUGGGCAAAGCCCUUGAGAAAUCCAAAAAAAACAGGGCUUAUAACAGGUAG
RNA transcript from Nomascus leucogenys (northern white-cheeked gibbon), 812 nucleotides. It is a transcript of the gene named inhibitor of growth protein 1 pseudogene, with no coding region annotated. The transcript has 2 exons. The record is from RefSeq and is a predicted model, not a curated record. NCBI's taxonomy places the organism in Eukaryota, Metazoa, Chordata, Mammalia, Primates, Hylobatidae.